AAGAGCUUUCUCUAGGAAAUCCAGUAAGCAAGGGCUAAUCACCAUUUCCUCUGGCAGCGACUGAAGUGCAACCCAUGCAUACAGUUUAGCAGUUUUCACUCCACCGCUUCCUUUUCCUUUGGCAUACAAUUUGGACUCUUUGGAAAGGGUUCUUGGCAAAGAUGAUCCUCGAGAAGUAUUUGGCGAUUCAGUCUUUAAAGUCUUAGAGUUGUAGUGUAACUUUACAUCCACCCC
RNAcentral lists this long non-coding RNA (234 nucleotides) under Gallus gallus (chicken). Lineage: Eukaryota; Metazoa; Chordata; Aves; Galliformes; Phasianidae. The record is from RNAcentral.